UUAUUCAACGGCCGCGGUAUCAUAACCGUGCAAAGGUAGCGUAAUCACUUGUCUCUUAAAUGAAGACCCGUAUGAACGGCUAACUGAGGGUUCAACUGUCCCCUAUAAUCAAUCAAUGAAACUGAUCUUUCAGUACAAAAGCUGAAAUACUCACACAAGACGAAAAGACCCCGUGGAGCUUUAAGCCUACUACUAUAAUACAAACACGCAACUUAUUAAUAGUAUAAACUUUUAGUUGGGGCAACUACGGGGAAAAAAAGAACCCCCACGAAAACCAGGCUAAACCCCACUACAAGGCCUACAAGCCAAACAGGCCCAAUGGUUGACCCAGUACUACUGAUUGCCGAACCAAGUUACCCCGGGGGUAACAGCGCCAUCCCCCUAAAGAGUCCAUAUCGCAAGGGGGGCUUACGACCUCGAUGUUGGAUCAGGACACCCAGGUGGUGCAGCAGCUACCAAGGGUUCGUUUGUUCAACGAUUAAUGUCCUACGUGAUCUG
RNAcentral lists this ribosomal RNA (498 nucleotides) under Pachydactylus cf. oreophilus. RNAcentral describes it as "partial large subunit ribosomal RNA". It matches the Rfam family "Bacterial large subunit ribosomal RNA", at positions 1920 to 2607 of the family's 2925-position model. Lineage: Eukaryota; Metazoa; Chordata; Lepidosauria; Squamata; Gekkonidae. The record is from RNAcentral.